AUUUCUUAAGUGAUCCAUUGGUUGUUUAGUAGCGUGUUGUUGACUCUCCAUGUGUUUGUGUUUUCUGAAGAUUUUUUUCUUGUUGUUGAUUUCCAUUCAUAUAGCGUUGUGAUUGGAAAAGAUGCUUAAUAUGAUUUCAAUUUUCUUAAAGUUACUGAGGUUGGAUUUGUACGCCAGGAUGUGAUCAAUCUUGGAGAAUGUUCCAUGUGCACUUGAGAAGAAUGUGUAUUGCUUUUGGAUGGUGUAAUGCAUCAUUCAGGGCCUGUGUUUCCUUAUUGAUUUUCUGUCUGGAUGAUCUGUCCAUUGCUGUAAGUGGGGUGCUAAAGUUCCCCACUAUUAUUAUGUUAUUGUUGAUUUCUCCUUUGAAGGUCGUUAGCAGUUGCCUUAUAUAUGGUGUUGAACCUAUGUUGGGUGUGUAGAUAUUUAAAAUUGUUAUAUCUUCUUCUUGGAUUGAUCCUUUGAUCAUUAUGUAGUGACAUUCUUUGUCCCUUAAAAUAUUCUUCAUUUUAAAGUCUACUUUGUCUGAUAUGAGUAUUGCUACUCCAGCUUUCUUUUGAUCCCCAUUUGCAUGGAAUAUUUUCUUCCACCGUCUCACUUUCAAUUUGUAUGUGUCCCUAGAAGUGAAGUGGGUCUCUUGAGGACAGCAUAUAUAUGGUUCUUGUUUUUGUAUCCAUUCAGCCAGUCUAUGACUUUUGGUUGGGGCGUUUAGUCCAUUAACAUUUAAGGUAAUUAUUGAUAUGUAUGUUCUUAUUGCCAUUUUAUUAAUUGCCUUGGAUUUGUUUUUGUUGCUCUUUUUUCUUUCCUUCUUCUCCUGUUCUCUCCUCUUCUGGUUUGAUGACUAUCUUUAGUGUUGUAUUUGAGUUGAUUUUUCUUUGUGUAUCGACUGUAGAUUUUUGGCUUGCAGUUAUUCUAAAGUUUUGAUUUAAGAGUCUAUAUGUAUAUGAUAUUGUUUUAAGUUGUUGGUCUCUAAUUGCAAGUUCAUCUCCAGUGUCCUGCACUUGUACCCACCUCUUCUCAUAAUUUCUGAUUAUGGUGGUAUAAUUGUGCAUGGAUGGUUUCAUAUCUUUACUGUAUAUAUAACUUUACUGGUGAGCCUUGUCAUUUGUGGAAUUUUUGUUUCCUGUUGCUGUCUUUUCUUUUCAGCCUAGAGAAGUUCCUUUAGUAUUUGUUGUAAGGCUGGUUUAGUGUUGCUGAAUUCUCUUAGCUUUUGCUUAUCUGUGAAGGUUUUGAUUUCUCCUUCAAAUCUAAAUGAGAGCCUUGCUGGGUAGAGUAAUCUUGGUUGGAGGUUUUUUCCUUUCAUCACGUUAAGUAUAUCCUGCCACUCCCUUCUGGCCUGCAGAGUUUCUGCUGAAAAAUCUGCUGAUAACCUUAUUGGGGCUCCCUUGUAUGUUAUUUGUUUCCUUUCCCUAGCUGCUUUCAAGAUUUUCUCUUUGUCUUUAAUUUUGGUCAGUUUGAUUAAUCAAAUUAGAAUUUAAUGUGAAGACAAGGCCCCUUGCUUUGUAUCUUAUCGGGCAGACCCUCCUUAGCUCUUUCAAAUCAGCCCCUCUCUCCUACAAGGGAGGCCUAGGCAGCAUCUUAAAAAAGCUUCCCGUGUGAUUCUGACAUCACUGAAAUUUGAGAACCCUGGUUCUCAAAUGAUGGUGAUUUUGCCCCCACCAUGGGAGAGUUGGCAACGUCUGAGGACAUUUUUGUUGUAAAAAUGGGAAAUGGGUACUACUGGCAUACAGUGAGUGGGGGCCAGGGAUGCUGCUAAAUGUCCUACGGUGCACAGGACAGUCCCCCACAACAAAGAUGAUCUGGCCCAAAAUAUCAUAGUACCAAGGUUGAGAAACCCUGAUCUAGACAUCAGGUGGAUCCCCGAAGUAGUCCAGGUUAGUCCCAUUUUAAUAAAUCAACUUCUAUUUUAAUAGCAUUGAAAAGCUCAGAUCCACCAAGCUUUCUGGCUUUCAACCAACUGACUUGCCUGGGAACCAUAAGCAGUGUGCCUGGGGCAUUCCCAUCAUCUGAAUCGUUGGGAACACUCUGGCCUUGCACCCCACCCCUUUCCCACAUCUGUCAGGCUGCCCUAGCUCUUCUUAGAUCCGAAAGGGUUGGUCUGAGCCCCUAGAGGGUCCUGGUCUUGCUUAUUCUCUCUAGGUAAUUAUGAUACAGCCAGACUAUAAGUACUUGCCAGACUGUUUCUUAGAUAUGCAGGAAUCUUACAUUUCCCUGCCUCCACUGCAGUUAGCUUGGGAGCCAUAUGACCAACUCCUGGUCCAUGACAUGUGGGUGAAUAUGAUGCAUGCUCUUUUCCUGGCUGGCAUGGCUCUGGGGUAGCAGGGAAGGCAUCCAGAAGGGCCCUGUAGAGGUAAGCUGACCAUAGCCUUGAUGCUGGCAUGAUCCCAUUAGUGGAGGUGCUGCCAGGGGCCAGGGGUUGGGGGCAGAGUGGCCCUAUGGCUCAGGGCUGCAAGGUUAACCCCAGGCCAGGUGCCCUGGGGAGACCCAACUGGAUUUCAAGAGGAUGUACAGCCCAUGUAAGAGCUGGGGGGAGAGAAUGUGGGGCCCCGACUAGGUGAAUCCCAGUUUUUCCAGCAGCAGAGACAGCAGGGUGAACAGGGCCAAAGCACAGGGAUGUCUUUGCUACGGAGGCCUGCUUUGCUACCCAGAGUGUCAUGAGGACAUAACAGGUCUCUGACUCCCUGCCCACACACCCUCCCUUGAGGAGGCUGAGUGGAGCUAAGAAAGGGAUUUUUCUCAGAUCUUCCCCCACAUUUUUAUUUCUAGAAUUGUUAAACAUUAAGAAAAGCUGAAAGAAUAAUACAAUUAUCACCUAUACACUCUUUACCAAGAGUCACCUAAUGUUUCUCCUGACAUUAUUCCAUCAUUCUCUCUGUCUUUCUCCUCUUGCUGAAACAUUUGAAAAUAAGUAUCAUAAUGUGUGUUAUAAUCCAUUCCUGUCAUUAAUCUUUGUGAUGUCAAGUUGGGCUAAGGGAUGCCCAGACAGCUGGUAAACCAUUAUUUCUGAGUAUGUCAGCGAGGGUGUUUCUGGAAGAAAUUAGCCUUAAAUCAGUAGACUGAGUGAAAAAGAUCUGUCUCACCAAUGUGGGUGGGCAUCAUCCAACGGCUUGAGGACCUG
RNAcentral lists this long non-coding RNA (3115 nucleotides) under Sus scrofa (pig). Its description in RNAcentral is "lncRNA (ENSSSCG00000058403.1)". The record is from RNAcentral. Lineage: Eukaryota; Metazoa; Chordata; Mammalia; Artiodactyla; Suidae.